Molecule: long non-coding RNA, 981 nt
Filed under: Salmo salar (Atlantic salmon)
Lineage: Eukaryota; Metazoa; Chordata; Actinopteri; Salmoniformes; Salmonidae
Description: lncRNA (ENSSSAG00000106974.1)
Source: RNAcentral
AUUUGGGUGCAACGCAAGCACCUUCAGCUCGGCAAGUAGGACAAUACAUGCGACACGGUCACUUCUGCUUCCUGUCUAUCGUCAAACCACUGGUGUUGGUCUCAAGCAUGGAUUACACUUGAAGCCCAUGCGAUCUCCACAGUCUUGGCAGCAUUGUGGGAACCCCCUACCAUAUCAGGAGCUGUUACAGAGGGCUGAGGCAGUGGCCAGACACCCCACUUCAGAUUAAUGGAGGACACUUGAAUCAGGUUAUAUCAACUGUUUUGGUGAACCCCUCCCGCAUCUGAACUGGCUGACACAGAGGGCACAGCAUGAUCAUAGAUGAGAUGUUACUUGGUCAGGUCAACAGGAAGUUGCUUUACAUUGAAAUACAGACAGAGAUGUAGUAGUCCCAGAGUUAAUGAUCCAAGGUAUGUCAUCGCCACCUCACCCGCUCUUAAGAUAACCUUCGGGCCAGCUGGGGGCCCAAGACUGGUUAGGAGACACCGCAAUUGUGAUGAACUGAGAGAAUAUUAGGGUAGCACUGUAAAUUCAUCAGUUAUUCUCAGUCACACUCUGACGAGAGUGCUCUGAAAUCGGAGUAGAUAGCCAGACUGAAUUUACGAACGCACCAGAAAUUGUUCCUUGUAUAGUGGAGACUUUUGUUAAGACAUGUAGCUAGCUAAACAACGAACCAUAAUCACAACUCAUGACGUUACUACCCUGCAUGAAUCUGCAGGUAGCUAACCUGCAGAUUCUACUAAAGGACAUCAAUGUUAGCCAGCCAAGCAAAUGGCUCUGAGAUAAUAAGAUCAGACAAAUGACGUUAAUUAGUAAGCCAGCCAGCUAAUGUUAGCUAGCUAACAGUACACUUUAACAUGAAAUUAAACCACUUUCUUACCCAUAUACAUCAUAGAUGGGCGCGUCUCCUGACAGGGAUGCCAUGGUUGCCCUUAGUUAGAAGAUGUAAUCCGGAGACAAGUGUUUUCUGCAUCUCCUUAG